GAACGCACCUUGCGCUCCUUGGUAUUCCGAGGAGCAUGCCUGUUUGAGUGUCAUUAAUAUAUCAAUCUCUUCAGCUUUUGCUUGUUGAGUAUUGGAUGUGGGGGCCUUUUUUGCUGGUCUUUUAAAAGAGGUCAACUCCCCUAAAAUGUAUUAGCGGAACAAUUUGUUGACCGUUCAUUAGUGUGAUAAUUAUCUACGCUAUUGACGUGAGGCAGUUCAGCUUCUAACAGUCCAUUAACUUGGACAGUUUUUCAUUAAUGUGACCUCAAAUCAGGUAGGACUACCCGCUGAACUUA
Molecule: unclassified non-coding RNA, 296 nt
Filed under: Cortinarius albocyaneus
Lineage: Eukaryota; Fungi; Basidiomycota; Agaricomycetes; Agaricales; Cortinariaceae
Description: sequence contains 5.8S rRNA gene
Rfam family: 5.8S ribosomal RNA (bases 1-53)
Source: RNAcentral